AGCAGAUUGGCUCAGUGGUAAGAGCACAGGCCUGGGAGUCAGAGGACCUGGGUUCUAAUCUUAGCUCUGCCA
Molecule: transfer RNA, 72 nt
Filed under: Ornithorhynchus anatinus (platypus)
Lineage: Eukaryota; Metazoa; Chordata; Mammalia; Monotremata; Ornithorhynchidae
Rfam family: tRNA
About the family: Transfer RNA (tRNA) molecules are approximately 80 nucleotides in length. Their secondary structure includes four short double-helical elements and three loops (D, anti-codon, and T loops). Further hydrogen bonds mediate the characteristic L-shaped molecular structure. tRNAs have two regions of fundamental functional importance: the anti-codon, which is responsible for specific mRNA codon recognition, and the 3' end, to which the tRNAs corresponding amino acid is attached (by aminoacyl-tRNA synthetases). tRNAs cope with the degeneracy of the genetic code in two manners: having more than one tRNA (with a specific anti-codon) for a particular amino acid; and 'wobble' base-pairing, i.e. permitting non-standard base-pairing at the 3rd anti-codon position.
Source: Rfam by way of RNAcentral